UGCCCAUGUAGCUCAGUGGAUAGAGCACGUCCCUCCUAAGGACGGUGUCGGGAGUUCAAAUCUCUCCAUGGGCGU
This 75-nucleotide transfer RNA is filed under the name Bacillus phage vB_BsuM-Goe19. RNAcentral's name for it is "tRNA-Arg". It matches the Rfam family "tRNA". From Rfam's summary of the family: Transfer RNA (tRNA) molecules are approximately 80 nucleotides in length. Their secondary structure includes four short double-helical elements and three loops (D, anti-codon, and T loops). Lineage: Duplodnaviria; Heunggongvirae; Uroviricota; Caudoviricetes; Herelleviridae. The record is from RNAcentral.